GAUGAACGCUGGCGGCGUGCCUAAUACAUGCAAGUCGAGCGAACGGACGAGAAGCUUGCUUCUCUGAUGUUAGCGGCGGACGGGUGAGUAACACGUGGAUAACCUACCUAUAAGACUGGGAUAACUUCGGGAAACCGUAGCUAAUACCGGAUAAUAUUUCGAACCGCAUGGUUCAAAAGUGAAAGACGGUCUUGCUGUCACUUAUAGAUGGAUCCGCGCUGCAUUAGCUAGUUGGUAAGGUAACGGCUUACCAAGGCAACGAUGCAUAGCCGACCUGAGAGGGUGAUCGGCCACACUGGAACUGAGACACGGUCCAGACUCCUACGGGAGGCAGCAGUAGGGAAUCUUCCGCAAUGGGCGAAAGCCUGACGGAGCAACGCCGCGUGAGUGAUGAAGGUCUUCGGAUCGUAAAACUCUGUUAUUAGGGAAGAACAUAUGUGUAAGUAACUGUGCACAUCUUGACGGUACCUAAUCAGAAAGCCACGGCUAACUACGUGCCAGCAGCCGCGGUAAUACGUAGGUGGCAAGCGUUAUCCGGAAUUAUUGGGCGUAAAGCGCGCGUAGGCGGUUUUUUAAGUCUGAUGUGAAAGCCCACGGCUCAACCGUGGAGGGUCAUUGGAAACUGGAAAACUUGAGUGCAGAAGAGGAAAGUGGAAUUCCAUGUGUAGCGGUGAAAUGCGCAGAGAUAUGGAGGAACACCAGUGGCGAAGGCGACUUUCUGGUCUGUAACUGACGCUGAUGUGCGAAAGCGUGGGGAUCAAACAGGAUUAGAUACCCUGGUAGUCCACGCCGUAAACGAUGAGUGCUAAGUGUUAGGGGGUUUCCGCCCCUUAGUGCUGCAGCUAACGCAUUAAGCACUCCGCCUGGGGAGUACGACCGCAAGGUUGAAACUCAAAGGAAUUGACGGGGACCCGCACAAGCGGUGGAGCAUGUGGUUUAAUUCGAAGCAACGCGAAGAACCUUACCAAAUCUUGACAUCCUUUGACAACUCUAGAGAUAGAGCCUUCCCCUUCGGGGGACAAAGUGACAGGUGGUGCAUGGUUGUCGUCAGCUCGUGUCGUGAGAUGUUGGGUUAAGUCCCGCAACGAGCGCAACCCUUAAGCUUAGUUGCCAUCAUUAAGUUGGGCACUCUAAGUUGACUGCCGGUGACAAACCGGAGGAAGGUGGGGAUGACGUCAAAUCAUCAUGCCCCUUAUGAUUUGGGCUACACACGUGCUACAAUGGACAAUACAAAGGGCAGCGAAACCGCGAGGUCAAGCAAAUCCCAUAAAGUUGUUCUCAGUUCGGAUUGUAGUCUGCAACUCGACUACAUGAAGCUGGAAUCGCUAGUAAUCGUAGAUCAGCAUGCUACGGUGAAUACGUUCCCGGGUCU
Molecule: ribosomal RNA, 1372 nt
Filed under: uncultured bacterium
Lineage: Bacteria
Description: bacterial SSU rRNA
Rfam family: Bacterial small subunit ribosomal RNA
Source: RNAcentral